UUUUUAUGUAGCUCAUCCUCUCUCUCAGCUCACUCUCAAUCAUUCUUUCUGGAGUCUUUCUCAUCGUUCUCACCUUCUCCCUUAUCCAAAAUCAUACAGCCAUCUAAACCACCUUUUCGGCCAAUCGAUCACCAAACCAACACCAUAGUGACCCUCAUCUCUUCACAAGCUUAAACAUGAACCCUAGACUGUGAAAAAAUGACCACUGACUGAGGUCAUAAGAGCUCUGACGAGAACCGAAUUUUUUUCGACAAGAUUCUGUCUCCUUUUUGUUGUUUUGGAUGAGUUUGGGGGUCACCAAUUGAGUUACCAUCAUCCUAGAAGUCAAUUUCGAGCAUUGGAUCCUGGGGUCCACCUCGACGUACAAAGAUCACACAACUUCGAUUUGAGCCAAAGUUUUUCGACGAGUUUCAGGCCAUCUCUGGCCUUUUCUUAGACUUUUAAAAGGAUUUGUGCUCAAUUUCCCAGUUCCUGGCAAGAUAAACGGCUGCAGCUGCAACCAACUCACUGGAGAAGAAGGGAAAUAUUCCAAAACCCAACCCGCUUGUGGCUGCUCUAGUCUGCACGUAGAGGCACGUACGAUGGCGCAUAGUCUGCAAAACGUGGCCAACAACCCAAAGUGUCUUUCUAGGCUAAUUUUGAUGAUCUGAAUUUGUUUUUGGCAUUCAUUCAGCGUUAUUAUAUUGUUUUAACCUAAUUUUGUAGUUGGCAUCCACUUAAACUUGCGAUUGGCAGAGAUCCGACAGUCGGAUUGUCAUGAAUUUUUAGUAUGUUGUAGUGGAAGUGUGAUGAGGCUUUUAGGAAGUUACUGAAUGGAAAUUUAUAUGCGGAUCUUCCGAAUUGAA
Molecule: long non-coding RNA, 845 nt
Organism: Malus domestica (apple)
Lineage: Eukaryota; Viridiplantae; Streptophyta; Magnoliopsida; Rosales; Rosaceae
Source: RefSeq, a predicted model, not a curated record